CUUACUGUGAACUUGAGUGUGAGACC
RNAcentral lists this non-coding RNA (26 nucleotides) under Cricetulus griseus (Chinese hamster). The record is from RNAcentral. Lineage: Eukaryota; Metazoa; Chordata; Mammalia; Rodentia; Cricetidae.